UCCCAUCAGGUCUUUGGUGGAGGAGGUAAUGGCUGAAAAACGUGAGCUUGUUCUUAACCAGGGAAAAGAGAAGAGACCCUGAAGAAGCUAGUCGGCACAGAGUGUGGCUUCUGCUGCAUGUCCAGCUGCUGUCUGUCCCCCAGGAGACCAUUCUAGAGCACACUUGCAUGGGGUGGAGGAUAUUUUCAGCUGCUGAGUCUUCUUCAAGGAGGAGUUAGAGUCAAGACUCUCUGUCUCAGAACCUUGGAGUCCAAAUAGAAAAAAAAAAUUGGAGAUGUGGUAACAUCAAGUGUCAGCCAAGCUGAGAAAACUAGAUGCCAAAAAUGAUAUGUGUAAAAAGCAAGCGGGCCAAGCAGACACAACAGUUGCAGAGAUAAGAGGCAGUCGCUUUUCUUCAAUGGAGGUGCCGAUGCCUACAGAGGACUCACCCAGACCCUUCAAUCUGAUGUAGCAAAUAAUAAAGAGAGAGAUUCGGUACCUAUGGGAACAGCCUCUACUCAGUGACAUUCAAGACAUUUCAAUGCACCAUCUACCUCAUCUACCCAGGUGGCACCACCAGUGUGGGGUCCAGGAGACAGUGCAUCGGGAAGGGACAGAACAGCGAUCUCAGAGACCAGGACAGGCUCAGAGGGACACCUUGACCCUGGGGAAAGAAGAGGAGCCAGGGCCUUGUUUACAUGUUGAAAUCCUCAGGAGGUCAAGGACGAGCCAUACUGAUGAGAAUUAAAGACUCUUGGUGUGUCAGGAGAGAGGAAGAGUUAAAGUCUUGAAGAGGACUCUGUGACAGCUAAAGUAUCAUGUGUACAGGUACAUUUACCACAUCAUGACUUUAACCAUCUAUGUUCUUCAAGGAAGAUAGAGGCUUAUGAAUGGGGACAGAAAUAGAACGAAGGUCAAGAACAGAGUGGGAGAAAAUUAAAGAGUAGGGGAGCAAGGUGCCAUAAUAGUGAAAGGAAAUACAAGAUUCCUGUUGUCAAGGACCUUACAUUCAAUAGGAGAAAGACGUACAAUAAGCAAAUAAAAAUGUAAGUAAAUAUAGUGCUUUCAGAUAAAUAAAAUAAAACAGUGAUAGGAUAGAGAAUAUCUACAGAGGAGAAUGAGUUCAGGAAAGAUGUCUUAAAAGAGGCAGUAAUACAUCCUAGACAUAAAUGACAGAAAGAAGCCAGCAAUUAAGGCGUCAGGUAUAGAAUGCUCUGGGCAGAAGUAGUAGCAAGUGAAAAGUCCUGAUAUUAGAUCAUAGUGGUGGAGGGAGAGGGUAGUUGCCAUGCAGGGCUCACUUGGCAGGAUAAAGACUCAGGCAACAGCCCUGAAGAAGGAGGAAAGGGGACUAAGGGAGAGGCAGUUUGGAGGUAGAGCCCUCAAAUAACUUUUUCUGUAGAUGUAUAGGAAAUAGAGGAAUCAAGGACAAAUCCUAUACUUUUGAUUAAAAUUACUGGUUUGAUGGAUUUAUCAUUCACUGAGAGGUUAAAGAAAUAAUUUUUUGGACCAUAUCAAAUGUGAGAUGCCAAGGAUAUGCUUGGAUCUAUGAGUCUGAAGCAUAUUGAGGCUCACUGAGGUGGUCAUUGACAUUCAGAGGGUAUUGAAGUAAAGGAACUGCUUGCAAUUACCCAGAAGGUAGAAUAGACAGAGGAGGAGAGGGAUAGAACCAAGUUCUUAUGUUUUCUUCUGGGAGUUUUAUGGCUUCAGGUCCUAUGUUGUCUUCAAUCCAUUUUGAUUUGAUUUUUCUGUACAGUGUAAGAU
Molecule: long non-coding RNA, 1740 nt
Filed under: Homo sapiens (human)
Lineage: Eukaryota; Metazoa; Chordata; Mammalia; Primates; Hominidae
Description: HSALNT0382624
Source: RNAcentral